This 491-nucleotide ribosomal RNA is filed under the name uncultured bacterium. Its description in RNAcentral is "partial 16S ribosomal RNA". It matches the Rfam family "Bacterial small subunit ribosomal RNA", at positions 29 to 506 of the family's 1533-position model. The record is from RNAcentral.
AGUGAACGCUGGCGGUAGGCCUAACACAUGCAAGUCGAACGGCAGCACAGUAAGAGCUUGCUCUUACGGGUGGCGAGUGGCGGACGGGUGAGGGAUACAUCGGAAUCUACUUUUUCGUGGGGGAUAACGUAGGGAAACUUACGCUAAUACCGCAUACGACCUACGGGUGAAAGCAGGGGAUCUUCGGACCUUGCGCGAUUGAAUGAGCCGAUGUCGGAUUAGCUAGUUGGCGGGGUAAAGGCCCACCAAGGCGACGAUCCGUAGCUGGUCUGAGAGGAUGAUCAGCCACACUGGAACUGAGACACGGUCCAGACUCCUACGGGAGGCAGCAGUGGGGAAUAUUGGACAAUGGGCGCAAGCCUGAUCCAGCCAUACCGCGUGGGUGAAGAAGGCCUUCGGGUUGUAAAGCCCUUUUGUUGGGAAAGAAAAGCAGCAGGUUAAGACCCCGCUGUUCUGACGGUACCCAAAGAAUAAGCACCGGCUAACUUCGU